UGCCAUCGCUAAGUCAAGUCUACUUCCGGUGACUCUUUUGUCACCGUUCUCCUCAAUGGAAGUAUUGUCUGUUACAGCUUUGGCAGAUUGACGCUGGUUCGCGCCGAAUUUCAUUCUGAAGCUAGGCUGAUUGGUUUUCGUCUUGAAAGCCGAUCGUUAAGAACUAAGCAGUGUUCUGUUUUUGAGUUGAGAACUGCUCGCCUUUUCUUGGCCCCUCAGUAGCCUUUCUCUUAGUAACAUUUCACACAUCG
This 251-nucleotide small nucleolar RNA is filed under the name Aspergillus calidoustus. RNAcentral's name for it is "Small nucleolar RNA snR191". It matches the Rfam family "Small nucleolar RNA snR191". The record is from Rfam by way of RNAcentral. Lineage: Eukaryota; Fungi; Ascomycota; Eurotiomycetes; Eurotiales; Aspergillaceae.